UGGAGGGUGGUCACAUGGGACAUGGUAAUGUCCUCACACAUUGCCAUUAUUCAAUAGCGGUCGACUCGCGCUAAACGCCAUUGCUGACAAAUUAAAUAACAUUACUUCAAGACAAUAAUCACCGAUAGACAAAACAAGCAUCAACGCUUGUUGACAAAUAAAAAUAAAAUCAACGAUAACGCUGCUUCAUUCGUUAUUCAGACAAUUCGUUUUGGAUAAAUCAAUUCGGCUCAUACGUUGAAAUCAACUCGGUUUAUGUAGAGCCUAUAGCGAGCAUAUAUAUAUAUAUA
RNAcentral lists this long non-coding RNA (290 nucleotides) under Brassica napus (rape). RNAcentral's name for it is "long non-coding RNA (BNAP_LNC022064)". The record is from RNAcentral. Lineage: Eukaryota; Viridiplantae; Streptophyta; Magnoliopsida; Brassicales; Brassicaceae.